This 497-nucleotide ribosomal RNA is filed under the name uncultured bacterium. RNAcentral describes it as "partial 16S ribosomal RNA". It matches the Rfam family "Bacterial small subunit ribosomal RNA", at positions 28 to 507 of the family's 1533-position model. The record is from RNAcentral.
GACGAACGCUGGCGGCGUGCCUAAUACAUGCAAGUUGAGCGAUGAAGAUUGGUGCUUGCCCCAAUUUGAAGAGCAGCGAACGGGUGAGUAACGCGUGGGGAAUCUGCCUUUGAGCAGGGGACAACAUUUGGAAACGAAUGCUAAUACCGCAUAACAACUUUAAACAUAAGUUUUAAGUUUGAAAGAUGCAAUUGCAUCACUCAAAGAUGAUCCCGCGUUGUAUUAGCUAGUUGGUGAGGUAAAGGCUCACCAAGGCGAUGAUACAUAGCCGACCUGAGAGGGUGAUCGGCCACAUUGGGACUGAGACACGGCCCAAACUCCUACGGGAGGCAGCAGUAGGGAAUCUUCGGCAAUGGACGAAAGUCUGACCGAGCAACGCCGCGUGAGUGAAGAAGGUUGUCGGAUCGUAAAACUCUGUUGGUAGAGAAGAACGUUGGUGAGAGUGGAAAGCUCAUCAAGUGACGGUAACUACCCAGAAAGGGACGGCUAACUACGUG